This 643-nucleotide ribosomal RNA is filed under the name uncultured Burkholderia sp. RNAcentral describes it as "bacterial SSU rRNA". It matches the Rfam family "Bacterial small subunit ribosomal RNA", at positions 67 to 705 of the family's 1533-position model. Lineage: Bacteria; Pseudomonadati; Pseudomonadota; Betaproteobacteria; Burkholderiales; Burkholderiaceae. The record is from RNAcentral.
CGGCAGCGCGGACUUCGGUCUGGCGGCGAGUGGCGAACGGGUGAGUAAUACAUCGGAACGUGUCCUGUAGUGGGGGAUAGCCCGGCGAAAGCCGGAUUAAUACCGCAUACGCUCUACGGAGGAAAGGGGGGGAUCUUAGGACCUCUCGCUACAGGGGCGGCCGAUGGCAGAUUAGCUAGUUGGUGGGGUAAAGGCCUACCAAGGCGACGAUCUGUAGCUGGUCUGAGAGGACGACCAGCCACACUGGGACUGAGACACGGCCCAGACUCCUACGGGAGGCAGCAGUGGGGAAUUUUGGACAAUGGGCGCAAGCCUGAUCCAGCAAUGCCGCGUGUGUGAAGAAGGCCUUCGGGUUGUAAAGCACUUUUGUCCGGAAAGAAAUCCUUUGGCCUAAUACGUCGGGGGGAUGACGGUACCGGAAGAAUAAGCACCGGCUAACUACGUGCCAGCAGCCGCGGUAAUACGUAGGGUGCAAGCGUUAAUCGGAAUUACUGGGCGUAAAGCGUGCGCAGGCGGUUCGCUAAGACAGAUGUGAAAUCCCCGGGCUUAACCUGGGAACUGCAUUUGUGACUGGCGGGCUAGAGUAUGGCAGAGGGGGGUAGAAUUCCACGUGUAGCAGUGAAAUGCGUAGAGAUGUGGAGGA